Molecule: RNA transcript, 2336 nt
Organism: Cercocebus atys (sooty mangabey)
Lineage: Eukaryota; Metazoa; Chordata; Mammalia; Primates; Cercopithecidae
Gene name: tropomyosin alpha-4 chain pseudogene
Exons: 2
Source: RefSeq, a predicted model, not a curated record
AUGCGACAGGGUAAAAGUAAACUCAUGGGCACUCCCCAGAUGGUGUAUGAAAAGCAUCACAGAUCAUCACAAAUCAUUUCUUUCUACACCACGUACACACACAAAUGGAAAAGGGGUGUUGAAAGCAUACCGCUCAGAGGGAUAAGAAAUUUCCCUUUAUGGCCGGAGCCGAGUCCAGCUGAGAAACGCAAGACCCAGGCCCCGCAGCAGCAGGCGGACGAGGCGGAACACCGAGCGCAGGGCCUGCAGCGGGGGCUGGACCUGGACCAAGAGCGCGAGCGGCGCGAGAAAGCUGAAGGUGAUGGGGCCGCCCUCAACCGACGCACCCAGCUCGUUGAGGAGGAGUUGGACAGGGCUCAGGAACGACUGGCCACGGCCCUGCAGAAGCUGGAGGAGGCGGAAAAGGCUGCAGAUGAGAGUGAGAGAGGAAGGAAGGUGAUAGAAAACCAGGCCAUGAAGGAUGAGGAGAAGAUGGAAAUUCAGGAGAUGCAGCUCAAGGAGGCCGAGCACACUGCGGAAGAGGCUGACCGCAGACACGAGGAGGUAGCUCCUAAGCUGGUCAUCCUGGAGGGUGAGCUGGAGAGGGCAGAGGAGCGUGCGGAGGUGUCUGAACUAAAAUGUGGUGACCUGGAAGAAGCACUCAAGAAUGUUACUACCAAUCUGAAAUCUCUGGAGGCUGCGUCUGAAGAGUAUUCUGAAAAGGAGGACAAAUAUGAAGAACAAAUGAAACUUCUGUCUGACAAACUGAAAGAGGCUGAGACCCGUGCUGAAUUUGCAGACAGAACGGUUGCAAAACUGGAAAAGACAAUUGAUGACCUGGAAGAGAAACUUGCCCAGGCCAAAGAAGAGAACGUGGGCUUACAUCAGACACUGGAUCAGACACUAAACGAACUUAACUGUAUAUAAGCAAAACAGAAGAGUCUUGUUGCAACAGAAACUGCGGAGCUCCGUGGGUCUUUCUUUUCUCUUGUAUGAAGUUGCUUUUGUUAUUGCCAUCUUCGCUUUGCUGGAAAUGUCAAGCAAAUUAUGAAUACAUGACCAAAUAUUUUGUAUCGGAGAAGCUUUGAGCACCAGUUAAAUCUCAUUCCUUCCCUUUUUUUUUCCAAAUGGCACCAGCUUUUUCAGCUCUUAUUUCUUCCUUGAGUUGCAUUUAUUCCUAAGGUAGGUAGGGUAUUUCCUAGUAAGCAUAUUUUCUUAAGACAGAGGCCAUUUGGUUCCUGGGAGAAUAGGCAGCCCCACACUUUGAAGAACACAGACCCCAAUAUCUAGUCGUGGAUAUAAUUAAAAUGUUAAAGACCAUAACCUUUUGGGUCAACUGUUGGUCAAACUAUAGGGACCAUCACAUGGGUAGGGAUUUUCUAUCUGAAGCCAAUAAAAGAGCUGGUGGGGGCCAGGAUGGCUACUGUGGGAAGUCAUAACCCACAGAUAGAUUAAACUAAGAAUCCUGGCCCUUCUCCACACUCCACCAUGCAGAACAAACAUCCUUUCAAGCAGUCAAGGUAGAAUGCUUCAGUAAUAGUCAUAAUUACCCACAUAUAGUAGUUAAUAGCUGGUAAUUAAUAGAUCCACGAUGUGAUGUUCUUUUGAGUAUUUCCUUCAUUCUAAAGUUGUUCUCUGGCCAGGCACAGUGGCUUUCACCUGUAAUCCCAACACUUUUGGAGGCCAGAUCACUUGAGGUCAGGAGUUCGAGACUAGCACAGCCAACAUGGCAAAACCCUGUCUGUACUAAAAAUACAAAAAUUAUGGUGACACCUGCCUGUAGUCUCAUCUACUCAGGAGGCUGAGGCAGGAGGAUCACUUGAACUCAGGAAGAGGAGGUUGCAGUGAGCCGAGAUUGCACCACUGCACUCCAGUCUGGUCAACAGAGUGAGACUCCAUCUCAAGAAAAAAAUAAAAUUAAAAAGUUCUCUGAAAAGCAAAUGUCUCAUUCUAGUAAUGACCCACUCAGCCGGAAUAUGGUGGAGUUCAGUCCAAUUCAGGUCAGCCAUAUCUGAAAGACUACGAGUCAUUCAUAAGUUGAGCAAAAGCAUUUCUAUCUAUUAGCAGAAAGGGCCUGUCUGGCAGCAGAGAUUAAAAAUGGGCCCAACUUCAUUUCCAUACUUCAGGGAAUAGCAAAUUGAAGAUUUACUUAUCUAGGACUUGAAUUCCUUCUUUGGGACCAAGUUAAUAAAACACCAAGAAACUCCUGAUUAAACUGGAUAAUGAAGGAUUCUGUAGACAGGGCUGCACGUAUCGGCUUUGUUUGACUUCUCUUUUCUCAGUUAAUGUCUCAGAGCUGGAACAUUCCACAUUCCCCAGCAGCGUGUGGGGGCCGAGUAAAGUUUACAAUUCCGACU